ACUCCCUCGGUUAGAUCCCAAAUCACCAUCACCCCUCCCCCCACCCCAACCUCCGCCGCCAAACCCCACAACGCCGCACCACCAGCCAGCUCUCACCGACCAACCCAGCGCCACUCCGCCGCCCGCCGGAUCCAGCGAUCCGGCAUGCAGCCCUCCUCCUCCUCCUCCUCCUCCGCGCACCCGCCGGACCACCCCGGCGCCAAGCCCCCGCCCCCUCCUGCCCCCGCCAUGGGCUACCCCGCCAACCCUUCCCCCAACGGGAACCCAGCCGCCUACUUCGCCGCCGCCGCCGCCGCGCCGCCUCCCUCCGCCGCGGGGCACCCCAACGGCACCGCGGCCUUCGGCGUCGCGUACCCCUACCCCGCCCCGCCGCCGCACCACCCGCCUCCGCCGCCCCACCACCACCCCUACCCCUACCCCCCGCCGCCGCCCACCUGCCUGCGCCGCCUCCUCGCAGCCGUCGUCGGCGCCUUCCUCCUCCUCGGCGCCGCCACCUUCAUCGUCUGGCUGCUCCUCCGCCCGCGCGCGCCCGCCUUCUCCCUCGCCUCCCUCGCGCUCUCCCGCGUCGCCUACUCCCCCUCCAACUCCUCCCUCUCCGCCUCCUUCGACGCCGCGCUCCUCGCCGCCAACCCCAACGCCAAGCUCGCCGUCACCUACUUCUCGCCCCUCGCCUCCGUCUCCUUCGCGCCCUCCUCCCCCAUCGCCGUCGCCUCGCUCGCGCCCUUCAGCCAGGGGCCCGGGAACACCACCACGCUCGCCUUCCGCCUCGUCGUCGACGACGCCUACGUGGGGCCCGACGACGCCGCCCCGCUCAGGAGCGGCGGCGGCGCCGGGGGCGCCGUCGCCGUCCAGGUCAGGCUCAUGGCCGUCGCCGUUUUCGACAGAGGGGGCUGGCGCACGCGCCGCAGGGUCAUGAGGGUUGUGUGCGACGGCGUGCAGGUGGUUUUCCGCGGGAAGAAUUCCACUGAGGCAGCGUUCAACGGCCCGCCGAGACGCUGCGAUGUCGUGUUGUGAAGGAGAAUAUGUUGCCAGCAAUCACCGUUGUCUUGUAGCAUCCAGACUAUUAAGUCUUAAGCUUGCAAAACAGGAUUCACAAUACCAUGUUGGUUGACUUCUGGGGGUUGCUGAUAGGAGGGAACUUAUUUCAUAGGUACAAGAAGCUAACUGGCACUACGAGAUGGUGUAUCGGCACUGAUUUGGUGAGCCUGUGAAACCAUGGUUUUGCCUGGCUGUAAUAGAGUAGCGAGAGAGUUGUGAAAUGAUUUGUGCUUGGUGGGAAUAUGAAUCUGUAUCUAUGAUAGCUUCAACACGAAUGGUUGUGAGAAUCAUGGCAAGAAUGAUUGUGCGUGGUGGUUACUUUUGCGUGCACUAUGGAGCCUCGUGGGAAACGUACAUCGAGUUGCUGCUUGAAAGCAGAAAAGCUUCUUGGGCAUGGAUGGUUGGAAGUUGAAACCUGCGACAGUCACUCGUAUCGUUCACUAAUUGCUCUGCAUUACCUUGCACCUUGAGAACUCCACUACGCUGUACUAUGGCCCUCCUUGGUAUAUGUACUAUGAAUGAUUGUUUAGCUGUUAGUAUUAUCAAAAGCCUUGUCCAAAAAAUGAUUCUGUUGGCACC
Panicum virgatum (switchgrass) is the source of this 1617-nucleotide RNA transcript. It is a transcript of the gene named forkhead box protein D1-like, with no coding region annotated. NCBI's taxonomy places the organism in Eukaryota, Viridiplantae, Streptophyta, Magnoliopsida, Poales, Poaceae. The record is from RefSeq and is a predicted model, not a curated record. The transcript is spliced from 3 exons.